Molecule: ribosomal RNA, 253 nt
Filed under: uncultured bacterium
Lineage: Bacteria
Description: partial 16S ribosomal RNA
Rfam family: Bacterial small subunit ribosomal RNA
Source: RNAcentral
UACGUAGGUGGCAAGCGUUGUCCGGAUUUAUUGGGCGUAAAGCGAGCGCAGGCGGUUUCUUAAGUCUGAUGUGAAAGCCCUCGGCUCAACCGAGGAAGGUCAUUGGAAACUGGGGAACUUGAAUGCAGAAGAGGAGAGUGGAAUUCCAUGUGUAGCGGUGAAAUGCGUAGAUAUAUGGAGGAACACCAGUGGCGAAGGCGACUCUCUGGUCUGUAAUUGACGCUGAGGCUCGAAAGCGUGGGGAGCAAACAGG